Pelobates cultripes (western spadefoot toad) is the source of this 228-nucleotide non-coding RNA. The record is from the annotation of a GenBank genome assembly. NCBI's taxonomy places the organism in Eukaryota, Metazoa, Chordata, Amphibia, Anura, Pelobatidae.
AUUACCGUGAGUUUUAUUGUUGUGGAGUUCUGUAAUAAACCGGCACACACCACAUAGUACUGUGAGGGCUUUUUGUUUCUGUGGAGCUCAGUGAUAAAUGGAGAAACAGCGCAUUACUACAAAUUUUUAUUCCAAAGAGGUCAAGGUAAAUAAGUAUAAUCCACAGCUCACAAGCAAAACCACACACAGUAUUGUGUGACAUACUUAGUCUGCUCCUCUGUAAUGUAG